This is a non-coding RNA of Musa acuminata subsp. malaccensis (wild Malaysian banana), 197 nucleotides long. Lineage: Eukaryota; Viridiplantae; Streptophyta; Magnoliopsida; Zingiberales; Musaceae. The record is from Rfam.
AUACCUUUCUCGGCCUUUUGGCUAAGAUCAAAUGAAGUAUCUGUUCUUAUCAGUUUAAUAUAUGAUACGUGGGUCAUCGAUCCACUAUGAUAUUAAAUUAAUUUAUUGUGGGGGAUGGCCCAUCACAGUGGCUUGCCAUUGGGGACCUUGCGCGUCGCUUGUGCGUUGCACUACAGCACUGACCUGGCGCACCUUGA